Molecule: RNA transcript, 4051 nt
Organism: Mus musculus (house mouse)
Lineage: Eukaryota; Metazoa; Chordata; Mammalia; Rodentia; Muridae
Gene: Gad1
Gene name: glutamate decarboxylase 1
Exons: 18
Source: RefSeq, marked reviewed
GAGGGCUAGGAAGAGGGGAAGGAAGAAUCACCCAGUGAGACAAAAUUCUUCGUAGGAAUUAUAUUUUCCCUUGCCCUCACCCAACAUCGCCUAUCUCAAAAAUAAUUUAAAAACAAAAAACAAACAAACAAACAAAAAACAGAGCGUGCUGAGUGCAUUCUGGAUUACUCAUAGGACUUUGUCACACACACCCUCCUUUCUGGUCGCAAACCCGUGAGCUGGAUUUAUAAUCGCCCUACAAAGCUCCAGAGGCAGUCAGACACCUGCAAAGGAGCCCCAGCGCUCCGCGGACGAGCUGCCCCCGCGAGCAACGGCCUCGUGAUUCCCCCCGCCGAGCGGGUCCCCGCCUCCCCACUCCGCCCCCGCCUCCCCCAAGCCCAGCGGCCGCCUCUCCGGAUCUCUCCCUUCUUCAGGCUCUCCCGUGCCGGACCAGGGAUCGUGCAAGCAAGGAAGCAGCCCUGGGGUGACACCCAGCACGUACUCCUGUGACAGAGCCGAGCCCAGCCCAGCCCCGGGACGCUUCGCAGAGGAGUCGCGGGAGGGUCCAGCUCGCUGUCGCUGAACCGAGGUGGGUAAAUACCGGAUCGCCCGGACUUGCCAGAGCCCCGCCUCGGUUAUUCAACCCGGUGCCCUCAGCCUGCGGCUUCUUGUCCAGCCCUUUGCCUCACCCCACCAGCACGCGCCUGUCGCCCACCUUCCACAGCCGAGUGCUUCCCGCCAGUCCUGUCGCAGCUGUGGUUUGGCGCACCCAUCCCCUACCCUCCUCGCUCUUGAAACCCUUAUCAAUUUCAUUCGGGAGGACACAUAAGGGCUGAAGUGACCCCAGAGCCAUUUUUUGCCUGCGCUUGGGGGAUCGGAGCUCACGGCUGUCGGAUACGCGCCUGGGUAGCAGCGGCAGAAGCCUGUUCCUGCGCCCAGUCUGCGGGGGACCCUUGAACCGUAGAGACCCCAAGACCACCGAGCUGAUGGCAUCUUCCACUCCUUCGCCUGCAACCUCCUCGAACGCGGGAGCGGAUCCUAAUACUACCAACCUGCGCCCUACAACGUAUGAUACUUGGUGUGGCGUAGCCCAUGGAUGCACCAGAAAACUGGGCCUGAAGAUCUGUGGCUUCUUACAAAGGACCAAUAGCCUGGAAGAGAAGAGUCGUCUUGUGAGCGCCUUCAGGGAGAGGCAGUCCUCCAAGAACCUGCUUUCCUGUGAAAACAGUGACCAGGGUGCCCGCUUCCGGCGCACAGAGACCGACUUCUCCAACCUGUUUGCUCAAGAUCUGCUUCCAGCUAAGAACGGGGAGGAGCAAACUGCGCAGUUCUUGCUGGAAGUGGUAGACAUACUCCUCAACUAUGUCCGCAAGACAUUUGAUCGCUCCACCAAGGUUCUGGAUUUCCACCACCCACACCAGUUGCUGGAAGGCAUGGAAGGCUUUAAUUUGGAGCUGUCUGACCACCCCGAGUCUCUGGAGCAGAUCCUGGUUGACUGUAGAGACACCCUGAAGUACGGGGUUCGCACAGGUCACCCUCGAUUUUUCAACCAGCUCUCUACUGGUUUGGAUAUCAUUGGUUUAGCUGGUGAAUGGCUGACAUCGACUGCCAAUACCAAUAUGCCAUCAGACAUGAGGGAGUGUUGGUUGCUACGGUGAUGGGGCUCAGAGCAGAACCAAAGCAUGAGUGUGACCUCCAGAGGUGAUGGUUCACAUAUGAAAUUGCACCCGUGUUUGUUCUCAUGGAACAGAUUACUCUUAAGAAGAUGAGAGAGAUCGUUGGAUGGUCAAAUAAAGAUGGUGAUGGGAUAUUUUCUCCUGGGGGAGCCAUAUCCAAUAUGUACAGCAUCAUGGCUGCUCGUUACAAGUACUUCCCAGAAGUGAAGACAAAAGGCAUGGCGGCUGUGCCCAAACUGGUCCUCUUCACCUCAGAACACAGUCACUAUUCCAUAAAGAAAGCCGGGGCUGCGCUUGGCUUUGGAACCGACAAUGUGAUUUUGAUAAAGUGCAAUGAAAGGGGGAAGAUAAUUCCGGCUGAUUUAGAGGCAAAAAUUCUUGAUGCCAAACAAAAGGGCUAUGUUCCCCUUUAUGUCAAUGCAACCGCAGGCACGACUGUUUACGGAGCAUUCGAUCCAAUCCAGGAAAUUGCGGACAUAUGUGAGAAAUACAACCUUUGGCUGCAUGUGGAUGCUGCCUGGGGUGGUGGACUGCUCAUGUCCCGGAAGCACCGCCACAAACUCAGCGGCAUAGAAAGGGCCAAUUCAGUCACCUGGAACCCUCACAAGAUGAUGGGCGUGCUGCUCCAGUGCUCUGCCAUUCUGGUCAAGGAAAAGGGUAUACUCCAAGGAUGCAACCAGAUGUGUGCAGGCUACCUCUUCCAGCCAGACAAGCAGUAUGACGUCUCCUAUGACACCGGGGACAAGGCGAUUCAGUGUGGCCGCCAUGUGGACAUCUUCAAGUUCUGGCUGAUGUGGAAAGCAAAGGGCACCGUGGGAUUUGAAAACCAGAUCAACAAAUGCCUGGAGCUGGCUGAUUACCUCUACGCCAAGAUUAAAAACAGAGAAGAGUUUGAGAUGGUUUUCGAUGGUGAGCCUGAGCACACAAAUGUCUGUUUCUGGUACAUUCCACAAAGCCUUCGAGGGGUUCCAGAUAGCCCUGAGCGACGAGAAAAGCUACACAGGGUGGCUCCCAAGAUCAAAGCUCUGAUGAUGGAGUCAGGAACAACCAUGGUGGGCUACCAGCCUCAAGGGGACAAGGCCAACUUCUUCCGGAUGGUCAUCUCUAACCCAGCCGCCACCCAGUCUGACAUCGAUUUCCUCAUUGAGGAGAUAGAGAGGUUGGGUCAGGAUCUGUAAUCCCUCUUUACAGAACCAGAAUCAUCGGCCAUGCUUGUGCCCCUCUGGUACCCUAGAGCACAGCUCUGUCAGUAGCUGACACAUCUAGGCCAUCUCACUGAAGGAAAUUACAAUCUCUUAAAGAAUAUUUGUCACAUUUCACAUAAGCUUGUUUGUUAGAGCUAGUGGGGAAAUAAUGUUCUUUUUAAAAAAUUGCACAUUAGAAACACAGUAUAUAUGUACAGUUAUAUAUACCUCUCUCUAUGUACAUGUAUGUAUAGUGACUGUGGCUUAGUCCUAGACCAUAGCAUGUUGCUCGUCCCCAGGAAAUUAGCCUUACCCCCAGCAAUUACUAAGAGGCUAAACCAUCUCGCAAGCAACUACAGGGCGGAUGGUAUCCCUACUGCAGUGUCCUAGGGACCCAGGGAAAGGCUGUUGGUGGGAGGCUACCUCCCUGCUAGAGCUGUUCCCACGUGAAGGGAUGAUGGAUGACAGAUGUACCAGUAAAUGACAAAUGUCACACCCUCCCUGUUAGUACCCUGCUAGGGGAAAUAGUAGCAGUCUUUGUCACAAUUGUGCUUUGCUGUGUUUUAGAGAUUAAUCUGUGUAAACUGUGUACAUUGCCAUUGUCUAUCUUUGGGCAGGGGGAAGUGCAUAUAAUGAUUAAAUUGUAUGUCAGUGAGAUAUCUGCUUAUUUAUAUUCAAAUAUAUACCAUGUUAAAGAGACAUCUUGUAUUUUCUUCCCAUUUGUAAUGUAUCUUAUUUAUAUAUUAAUGGAGUAAGUUCUGGAUACUGUUUAUGGUAUUUUCGUGCAUUUGUGAGCCAAAGAGAAAAGAUGAAAAUUAGUGAGAUUUGCAUUUAUAUUAGAGUGCCCUUAACAUAAUGAUUUGAACAUAUGUGUACUGUCUGGAAAAGAAUUCUGAUACUGUACAUAGAGUCAUGUUAUGGAAAUCUUGCUUCAGUAGCCUUCGCUCUUCUCUUUCCCCCCUCAGGCUGUAUGUCAGAUGUUCUCAAAGCUUUUCUAGUAACUGUUGAAUAAUAAUAACUAGAUCUCCUGUAAUUUUGUAGUAGUAUAUGACCAAUCUCUGUGACUCGCUUAGCUGAAACCUAAGGCAAUGUUUCUGAAGACCUCCGAUACACUGACCAGUCCCACAAGUGUUUUUGAAGACAUGAAACCCACACUGUGCAUUUAGGGUGUGCAAGAAGAAUAUAAAUAAAAUAAAAAAUAUUCUCCAUGAA